GACGAACGCUGGCGGCGUGCUUAACACAUGCAAGUCGAACGGAAAGGCCCUGCUUUUGUGGGGUGCUCGAGUGGCGAACGGGUGAGUAACACGUGAAUGACCUGCCCUUGACUUUGGGAUAACUUCAGGAAACUGGGGCUAAUACCGGAUAGGAGCUCCUGCUGCAUGGUGGGGGUUGGAAAGUUUCGGCGGUUGGGGAUGGACUCGCGGCUUAUCAGCUUGUUGGUGGGGUAGUGGCUUACCAAGGCUUUGACGGGUAGCCGGCCUGAGAGGGUGACCGGCCACAUUGGGACUGAGAUACGGCCCAGACUCCUACGGGAGGCAGCAGUGGGGAAUAUUGCACAAUGGGCGGAAGCCUGAUGCAGCAACGCCGCGUGCGGGAUGACGGCCUUCGGGUUGUAAACCGCUUUCGCCUGUGACGAAGCGUGAGUGACGGUAAUGGGUAAAGAAGCACCGGCUAACUACGUGCCAGCAGCCGCGGUGAUACGUAGGGUGCGAGCGUUGUCCGGAUUUAUUGGGCGUAAAGGGCUCGUAGGUGGUUGAUCGCGUCGGAAGUGUAAUCUUGGGGCUUAACCCUGAGCGUGCUUUCGAUACGGGUUGACUUGAGGAAGGUAGGGGAGAAUGGAAUUCCUGGUGGAGCGGUGGAAUGCGCAGAUAUCAGGAGGAACACCAGUGGCGAAGGCGGUUCUCUGGGCCUUUCCUGACGCUGAGGAGCGAAAGCGUGGGGAGCGAACAGGCUUAGAUACCCUGGUAGUCCACGCUGUAAACGGUGGGUACUAGGUGUGGGGUCCAUUCCACGGGUUCCGUGCCGUAGCUAACGCUUUAAGUACCCCGCCUGGGGAGUACGGCCGCAAGGCUAAAACUCAAAGGAAUUGACGGGGCCCCGCACAAGCGGCGGAGCAUGCGGAUUAAUUCGAUGCAACGCGUAGAACCUUACCUGGGUUUGACAUGGAUCGGGAGUGCUCAGAGAUGGGUGUGCCUCUUUUGGGGUCGGUUCACAGGUGGUGCAUGCCUGUCGUCAGCUCGUGUCGUGAGAUGUUGGGUUAAGUCCCGCAACGAGCGCAACCCUUGUUCACUGUUGCCAGCACGUUAUGGUGGGGACUCAGUGGAGACCGCCGGGGUCAACUCGGAGGAAGGUGGGGAUGACGUCAAGUCAUCAUGCCCCUUAUGUCCAGGGCUUCACGCAUGCUACAAUGGCUGGUACAGAGAGUGGCGAGCCUGUGAGGGUGAGCGAAUCUCGGAAAGCCGGUCUCAGUUCGGAUUGGGGUCUGCAACUCGACCUCAUGAAGUCGGAGUCGCUAGUAAUCGCAGAUCAGCAACGCUGCGGUGAAUACUUUCCCGGGGCU
Molecule: ribosomal RNA, 1346 nt
Filed under: uncultured bacterium
Lineage: Bacteria
Description: partial 16S ribosomal RNA
Rfam family: Bacterial small subunit ribosomal RNA
Source: RNAcentral